Molecule: ribosomal RNA, 208 nt
Filed under: uncultured bacterium
Lineage: Bacteria
Description: partial 16S ribosomal RNA
Rfam family: Bacterial small subunit ribosomal RNA
Source: RNAcentral
CUCGUAGGCGGCCAACUAAGUCAGACGUGAAAUCCCUCGGCUUAACCGGGGAACUGCGUCUGAUACUGGAUGGCUUGAGUUUGGGAGAGGGAUGCGGAAUUCCAGGUGUAGCGGUGAAAUGCGUAGAUAUCUGGAGGAACACCGGUGGCGAAGGCGGCAUCCUGGACCAACACUGACGCUGAGUGAGCGAAAGCCAGGGGAGCAAGCG